Molecule: ribosomal RNA, 403 nt
Filed under: uncultured bacterium
Lineage: Bacteria
Description: partial 16S ribosomal RNA
Rfam family: Bacterial small subunit ribosomal RNA
Source: RNAcentral
AGUGAACGCUGGCGGCGUGCUUAACACAUGCAAGUCGAACGAAGUGGGAACGGGUGAGUAACACGUGGGUAACCUCCCAUCAGAGGGGAUAACACUUGGAAACAGGUGCUAAACCGAUACUGAUGGAUGGACCCGCGGUGGAUUAGCUAGUUGGUGAGGUAACGGCUAACAAAGGCCACGAUGCAUAGCCGGUCUGAGAGGGUGAUCGGCCACACUGGGACGGAGACACGGGCCAGACUCCUACGGGAGGCAGCAGUAGGGAAUAUUCGGCAAUGGACGAAAGUCUGACCCAGCAAUGCCGCGUGAGUGAAGAAGGUUUUCGGAUUGUAAAGCUCUGUGGUUUGGGAGGCGGUAUCUAACCAGGAAGCAACGGCUAACUACGUGCCAGCAGCCGCGGUAAUAC